CAAUCAGGAGCUGUACUCUCCAGUCACGAAGAGUCCAAUACAACAUGUCUUCAGUUGUGUCUCGAGUGUCCUUCUCGGCCCUACAAUGUACAUACGCCGAUUGUUUUAGUGUAUGUAGUUAAGGUUUUAGAUGGCAUACCCUCAACUGCUUGGCCAUGUCCUACAAGGACCGUUAACUAAAAAGAUUCAAAACAGAUUGUUGCUAGGUAACCACAAACUACUCAAGAGAUUGUUGCCGGGUAACCAAAGAGUGAGUGAGUGAGUUGAAGCCACUAAACUUGCUGUGAAAGGUUGAGCAGCUAAAGUGUUUCUUCUGUCCACAUUUCCCAGAAUGCUGGUUUCAAAUGAUCAAACAAAUCUUCAAUAUCAAACAAAACUAACCAGAUUGGAUGAAAAAAAAUUGUUUUCAGCUGAUUAUUUCAUUUAAUGAGAGGCAAAAAAUCAGUUUAAACCAACCUGACCCACCUGGUAAAAGAAACUACCCUCUAGCACUUAAAAAGGUAAAGGUAAUGGUAAUUUUAUUUAUAUAGCACAUUUUCAGCAACAAUGCAAUACAAAGUGCUUUAAAUAGAACCUGUUUGACAACACAAAGAGGCUAAAAGUUUUCAAAAAGCAACACAUCAUGACCUCAUCUAAAGAAAUUCAAGGAUAAAAGACAAAAUCGUUGACAUAUAUCAGCAUGGAAAGGGUUAAAGGACCCAAAUACAAACUUUAAGGGAAUAACAAACAAACAUGGCGGUUGUGUGAUUACCUAUGAUUUGCAGAAGUAGGAAGUUUUCUCUUCAUAUGGAGUUUUAUCAAGAUAUUUUGUGGUUCUAUUCUAUUACAAUAGCAAUAAAAGUUAUGAUUAAAAACUAUUUACUGCUUCUAUUUUUAGGUAAUUAUAUGCUCUGACUUCAUGGUGCCACAAACAUAAAUACUGUUCUUGAAUUCAUUUGCAAUAAGCUUCUUCAGAAUGAUAUUUGUCUUGUUCAGACAGUUACUGUAGUAAAUGUUCUUGUUCUCUCUAUAAACAUAUAUAUGAAAUAUAUAUAUGUAAAAAACAGAAAGCAAAACUGCAAAUGUGUUGCUUCUGCUUGCAAAACAAAGUGUCCGCCUUGUCCUCAUUUUGUAAUAAUUCAGCCUAAUAAAGCUGGAGGCUGGGAACAAGGGAGUCUGAUCUUCCAGCCGUUUAAUCCUCGAGGGACACAGGAGGUAAAAAUCACCAUCAGUAACAUGAGUUUGCAGCAGUGGUGGAUAUCAGAUUAGAAGACAUGGUACGUGGCAUUCCCAUCCUAAUCAAGGUCACCUCUCGCCCUCUGAGGUUCAAUCAGUCACUUGAAUUUAUUAUAAAUCCUAAACUGCUGCAGAAAUAGACAAUAAUCUGGAUCAAGUAAUGAGUAAAAUGUGUUUUUAAAUAAUAUGAUUUGACUGCUGUUGUGAUUUAAAACUCCCGUUACCGUGACCUUGAUGUUCGUCUUUGGUUAGUAGUCCGACAGCACCACCUGCUGGUCACGAACCAACCAGCAAGCCAGUAACUUCAAUAGAUGGCAACUUUAAUUUAAAAACCAGUAUAAAAGAGUAACUAAUUGUUAUUUCCAUGCAUAUCUUUAACUAACGCUGUCCAAACUCUUUGAGCGUUCUGGUCUUCAUUAACUUAAAGCAACAAUAAAACACUAAUUUAAUUAAUUCAUGUAAUUUCUCAAUACAAAACAUUUUUAGUAAAAUUUUAAAAAAGGCCCAAAAGGAGUUAACAUUUUGUUGCACCCUGCAAAAUUAAGGAGAAUCCAACAUUAAUUUCUACUUUGAUAAAUAAUAAUACUUUUUAAAAUCAAUUAGUGGUUCUUUUAACAUGUUUAAAGUUACACUUUACGUUUUAAAGUAAGCAUAUUGAUCAGUUCUUAAUAAGUGAUCAGAGGUUUCUGUUUCCCAUAGGGGCAAAAAAUCUGACGCCACUAAACAACAUUUUCUGAUAAUUACUCUUCAAAAUGGGAAAAACAAUAAAAUAUCCUCUUUAAUAAAGGCAGAUGUAUGUAAUAUCCUCACAAGUCAGGUAAUAAUUACAAGAAAAUUGCUACUUGCUGAAACUUACAUAAGUUUAGAGUUAGAAUAAUAUUUAAAAAGUUGUAAAAAAAAAAAAAUCUUUACCAGGGUUCCAGUAGUUAUGGAGGGAGCUGAACAUAUUGAACAAUUCACAACAUAUCUCAAACUUUGGUAUAAAAUUAUCAGAAAGACUUUCUUCAAUCUGAUGUAUGUGAAGAUUUGAAACCACCUUUACAAAAACAUUAAAUCAAAACAACAAAUUUUCCACUUGGGAGUUCAUUUUACAACUCGUGCCAUUGUGUUCUAAAUACUGUCUGCCUGGAAAACUAAUAGGAUCUGUGCAGUUUGCAGAAGGAUUUGAUUAAGUAGGCAGACACCAAAACAAAUUAGUGGUUUAUGUAAAAAAAAAACACACAGAGACACAUCCAUAUCAGUGCAUACUGACAAUACUGUAAAACAAAACACAGAUACAAACAAUGAGUCAUGAUUUC
Long non-coding RNA from Xiphophorus couchianus (Monterrey platyfish), 2513 nucleotides. RefSeq lists it as uncharacterized. The record is from RefSeq and is a predicted model, not a curated record. Lineage: Eukaryota; Metazoa; Chordata; Actinopteri; Cyprinodontiformes; Poeciliidae. The transcript is spliced from 2 exons.